UAGGUGGCAAGCGUUGUCCGGAUUUACUGGGCGUAAAGGGCGUGCAGCCGGGCUGACAAGUCAGAUGUGAAAUCCCGCGGCUUAACCGCGGAACUGCAUUUGAAACUGUCGGUCUUGAGUACCGGAGAGGUCAUCGGAAUUCCUUGUGUAGCGGUGAAAUGCGUAGAUAUAAGGAAGAACACCAGGGGCGAAGGCGGAUGACUGGACGGCAACUGACGGUGAGGCGCGAAAGCGUGGGGAGCAAA
Molecule: ribosomal RNA, 245 nt
Filed under: uncultured bacterium
Lineage: Bacteria
Description: partial 16S ribosomal RNA
Rfam family: Bacterial small subunit ribosomal RNA
Source: RNAcentral